This 107-nucleotide small nucleolar RNA is filed under the name Nicotiana sylvestris (wood tobacco). RNAcentral's name for it is "Plant small nucleolar RNA R71". It matches the Rfam family "Plant small nucleolar RNA R71". From Rfam's summary of the family: R71 is a member of the C/D box family of snoRNAs containing the C (UGAUGA) and D (CUGA) box motifs. Multiple nearly identical copies of this snoRNA have been identified in Arabidopsis, and it is thought to function as a 2'-O-ribose methylation guide for 18S ribosomal RNA. Lineage: Eukaryota; Viridiplantae; Streptophyta; Magnoliopsida; Solanales; Solanaceae. The record is from Rfam by way of RNAcentral.
AUUGUACUAUGUUUACACUUUCGAAGUAAUUCCUUAAACCUCUCCCAUGCUUCAAAAAUAGUUUCAUUAUCUUUCUGGGAUAAUUUAUGGAUUUGUCUUCUAAACAU